Molecule: long non-coding RNA, 4353 nt
Organism: Drosophila yakuba
Lineage: Eukaryota; Metazoa; Arthropoda; Insecta; Diptera; Drosophilidae
Exons: 2
Source: RefSeq, a predicted model, not a curated record
AAACAAAUUGCUCUGUUAGUUUUCCUUCUCUGCUGUUAUAUAAAAGUUGAAAAGUUUAAUACACCGUAAAAAGGAGAAUUUUGUGCUUACUAACAACGUUUAAAUUUCAAAGUCUUUUUUUAUAAAGCAUGAGUUUCCUUCAUUGAAUAAUGUUGAAAUUAUCAAAUCCGAUUCACAAAGUAAAAUAAAACAAAAAUAAUAUAUUUUUGUGUUCUGUUCUAUUUAAUUAAAGAUCUUAUAUGUUUUCUUUUCCGCUUUGUCUGCGUAAUAAAGAUCACUUAAAGUUUCAAAAAUAAUUUAGAAGUUUGAUUAUAUCUGUGUCGCAAAAUUAAAGAUAAUUUUGAAGAGAACCAAAUAAUAUUGACAUUAAUUAACCAAGCGAAUAUUUUUAUUUAUUACCAAUACAAAUUAUACAUUUCAUUAAGGGAUUGGUAUUUCAAAAUGCUUGAAUGGACAAAGACAUAAAACUCGUAGGAUAUUCAAAUUUUAGACUCUAGCCUAAAUGGUAAAGCUUUUUUAUUCGGGUAAUUAAUUAUUAAUAAGAUCUGAAAUAUAUAUGGUUUUUUUUUGACUGGCUACCUGUCUUUUAAUGUGUACAAACACAGCUAAGGAAAGUUUCGGAGGCAAAUUAUAACUUUUACGGGAUGCCAAGGUCAGUGGUCAGUCGUUAUUUAAGGGCAAUAAACAAAGCUAAAUGCAGUUUAUAAUAUGCACAGUUAAUGAAGGCUACAGCGCACACAAACGUGUAACUUAAUAUGAAAUUAGUGUUACGGUUAAACCAGUUGAAUAUAAUCAAGAUGUAGGCAAAUGGCAUGACUACACUAAUACCAAAGUACUGCUUUAUUGUUACUUGUUAUAUACAUAUGUAACUACGUAUUUGUUCCACUUGAAUGCGCCUCGCUACAUACACAGAUUUCCAAAUACAUUUUUCCAAUCUGGUAGUUCAUCUUAAUGUCUUUGGGGAAAUCAAACAUUUGAUUUCUCUUCUGUUAAUAAAUGUAAAUCAACGUAAAUUUAUUCCUGCAAUUAGGUAAAGCUUCUUAACCCACUAUUGUAUGUUCGAAAAAUAUUCCUUUUUUUCUUUUAUUCCCUGCGAGCUAGCAGAUGGUUUUGUCGGAGUGAAAAGUUGAUGGCACUUUCCCCAAACAGGACCAGACAACUUAGACAGAGGGCCAGACAAAAGGAAACAAAGAACAAGGAACCGAUGAAAUCUGGAGUGUUUUUCAGGUUUUUAUUUAGACUUCGACUGCAAUCUUGGUAAACCAGACCGCCGACCGAUUUCCGCGAGUAAUCGCUUUCCUGCAACAGCAGCAGUAAAUGGUUGUAAACAAAUUGAAAAUGACUAACGGUCGGGAAAUGUGAUGAGGGUAAGUGCCACUCAAGCCUCAACUUACUAAGCUAAUGCUGUCUACAGGUGUCAAUAAAACCAGAGACGUGCCGAAAAAGCCAGACACAACGCAGACGACACAACCAAUACAUUAAAUUGAUUUUGCCAUCUAUACAUACAUUAGGCACGACUAGUAGACUAAACACAAACAAAAUAUUUCACUAGAGUCGUGCAGGAAUACUAAGACAGUUAUACAAGAUUUAUUGAUCAAUUUAUGAAGUGCAUUUCAAACUUCUUAAAAUAAAUUUAUAAUCAAUGAAGAUUGCUCUAGAUAUAGCAAAAACCAUUUUUUUUACUUCCAUAACUAGAAGGCUGAGUUUUGUUCACCUUAGAUAUUUGCGGCACGCUUUCAGAUCUAGAAGGUAUGAGUAUUAGGAAAUAUACAGCAAAAAAACAGAGCCACAUUGCUUUGCUUCGUGCACCGCAAGCGACUCAAAAUGAGACUGCGACAAAGCUCGGGCUAUUGAUUUUGCGACUACUAAUGGAGGAGGGGCGAUGUCCAAGUCUCAACACCAACUCCCAAUCCGCUAUUUCGUUAUUUCGCCAUUACGAAAAUUUUGAGUUCGCCCCGAAGCUUCCUGCAGCAACCAGAAGGCGGUGAAAUGGGCAGGAAGGAAAUGGCGGACACGGGGAAAACUAGGAUCUCAAACCGCCUCUUAGUUGCCAAGUGGUCGCGCUGUUUUUCGUGACGCACCAGGCGGCGGCUUCUCAUGCGUCACCAACGUCUUUUAAUAGGAAAACAGCUGUUGUUGUUUGGCUUUGAUCAAAUGCAACCAAAACAAAAAUAAACAAUCUUGUCUUGUUAUUGGAAUUAUCAAUUGCAUGUCUUCUGCACAAAUUGCAGGUCCUUCAAGGUUGAUUUAUAGACAAGGAGUACACCAGCAAAAUGUCAUUUUACUAGUUAGUUUUGGGUUUUGUGCCUUAACCAAGGGCAGGCCAAAACUAUUGGGGACAAACAGCGCCGCAUUUAUCGCACUAUAUUUAGAACCCGGGGUGGUCGGUGGUGUGUGAGCGGUGACAUUUCCCCUUUUUACACCAAUCUACCACCCUCCACCACCCACUGAGGUUUGUAAAUUGUAUUGCAUGCUUUGUUGUUUGCUUUUUGGUCUAUUUUUGGAUAUGACAUGUAUUGGUGAAAUUCUGCACACAAGCUGCCAAAACGUGACAGCAGUAAAAAUAUCGAACAACGAUAUAUAACCGCGAAAAGAAGUCUGAAAGCUCCCAACUCUCAUGCUAUUUCUCAAUUUCUAAUUAACGACUUCUUAAGUGCAAGUGUAUUUAAUUGGACAGCAGAAGUAUUCAAGCUGCGCUUCAUUCAAGAUGUUCCGAGACCCAAUAAGUUUAACUAAAUCAAAAUGACCUUAAACAAAUUGCUGGAGGCAGUUUAAUGUCCCAACGUAUUGCUGAACAUUUCAAGGAAUUCAAUUGGCGUUCGAUUGUAUGCGUGGGAAUAUGGAAUAUUUAAGAACUGGCGGAAAGCAGAUAAACCCAGACAACAAAAUACAAACAGCUGGAAUACAAAAUUACCAAGUGGCGUAUACGUAAUCUCUAUCCUGAGUUAAGGUAGAUGUACUCUUCAUAAGAAAAUGAAAUUAUAAGCAAUGUUAGAUUGGCAUUCAAACUCGAAAAUUGUAUGUAUAUAUGAUUAAAAGGAACUCUACUCUACUAAAUAAUUGGGGGUUUGGUAAAUGGUGUGUCAAGGGAUGACUUCUUUUUGUAUCUGAAGUGUAAGUUCGUUUGGUAUAUUCUUUAUAAGGCCAAACCGGAUUUUUAAAAUGUUCCCCUGGUUGAUACGCUUAUCUCGUCGCUCUUGUGUUAUCACGGAUAAAUAAAAAGAGAGAAUAAAACUGAAUAAGCUUUUUUUUUUGUUUGUAUUGCCGGGCCGGGGCAAUAUCAUUGAACUUGUUCAAGGACAAGAGACCCCAAACGGAAAUAAAACGGAAAGAGCACAAGAAAUCUGACAGGAGAAUCGGUUGAAUAAUGAAUAUCGUUAGGAUUUUCAACAACGAUUGGAACAUAAAUGAAAUUCCUGUGCGUAUGGCUCAGAAUCAGUUGCCGGGUUCUAUUUUAAUUUCUCUUUCAAAUCCAAUUGACGCAUUUUACUGAUAUCGAUUAGCAAGAUCAAGAUAAACACAGGUAGAAAAUGCGAAAACUCGAGAUAACAGCAAAUCACAGCCAAACCUUGUUAAGUGACUGAUUGUAAAAUUAAAAACUAUGAAGGAAGGCAAUCUUUUCACAACAACUUUGCUACGUCCAAAUUUGCUCAGUAUAAAAUGCAAACUGAUUUGGUUGGUUCGGUCAAAAACCGUUUCUCUCGGCAAUGUCUUUUGUUUACUGUUUGCUGUCUCGCUUUGAUUAAUAUAGAUCUGCCUUAAAUGUCUUCAACAGAUUAGAUAAUAGAUAAAACUACGUGUAUGUACACUGCAAAUGACGUAUGAAGAUGAUUAAAACUGCCAAAAAAGAAAACCAAACUUCACUAGUGCAGUGCAAAAUAGUUUUCGUACCGUCCUGGUUCCAUUCGGAUGAUAAAAGUGGGUCAGCUAACAUCUUCUUUCAACUGGCGAGGGCAGUUAACCAGGUAACUGGGUCAAAUGAAAGUAAAAUGCGUGAAGUUACCAAUUUAUUUUAAGUAUAUGAUUGCUGUGAAUGAUACUAAAUAGGCCAUGACUUUUCUAUACGUUUUAUGUAUGUAAACAAAGCAGGAUUUUUUUUGCUCUUGACUACUUUAAUUGCGAACGAGAAAAAUUAUUCAUUGGAGCUACGAGGUAUUAUUGGUAUUUCAAAUAAUGCAUUUGAAAAGUUCUUAUGUUCAUUACUAAUUAAAAUUUUAAUUUCCUUAAUUUUAUUUAUAAAAAAUGUAAACACAAGUAUGUUUAUGUUCUUCUUACAAGAUGGCGAGACAUAUUAUGUGACUUGGCAACUUUUUUACAAAUUCUUAUUUUCCAAUUUCCUUAUAAUAAUACUUA